GCAAGUCGAACGAACCUUCGGGUUAGUGGCGGACGGGUGAGUAACGCGUGGGAAUCUGCCCUCAGGAGGGGGAUAACGGCCGGAAACGGCCGCUAAUACCCCAUAUGCCGAGAGGUGAAAUGAAUUUCGCCUGAGGAUGAGCCCGCGUCUGAUUAGCUAGUUGGUAGGGUAAUGGCCUACCAAGACUAUGAUCAAUAGCUGAUUUGAGAGGAUGAUC
RNAcentral lists this ribosomal RNA (217 nucleotides) under uncultured bacterium. Its description in RNAcentral is "partial 16S ribosomal RNA". It matches the Rfam family "Bacterial small subunit ribosomal RNA", at positions 57 to 305 of the family's 1533-position model. The record is from RNAcentral.